AGAGUUUGAUCAUGGCUCAGAUUGAACGCUGGCGGCAUUUACACGUGCAAGUCGAGCGGCAGCGCGGGGGCAACCCUGGCGGCGAGCGGCGAACGGGUGAGUAAUAGAUAGGAACGUGUCCGGGAGUGGGGGAUAACUAGCCGAAAGGUUAGCUAAUACCGCAUAUUCUCUUAGGAGGAAAGCGGGGGAUUCGCAAGAACCUCGCGCUCGCGGAGUGGCCUAUCUCCGAUUAGCUAGUUGGUGAGGUAAAGGCUUACCAAGGCGACGAUCGGUAGCUGGUCUGAGAGGAUGAUCAGCCACACUGGGACUGAGACACGGCCCAGACUCCUACGGGAGGCAGCAGUGGGGAAUUUUGGACAAUGGGGGCAACCCUGAUCCAGCCAUGCCGCGUGCGGGAAGAAGGCCUUCGGGUUGUAAACCGCUUUUAUUUGGGAAGAAGGAGUAGGGGUUAAUACCCUCUAUGACGGACGGUACCGGAUGAAUAAGCACCGGCUAACUACGUGCCAGCAGCCGCGGUAAUACGUAGGGUGCGAGCGUUAAUCGGAAUUACUGGGCGUAAAGCGUGCGUAGGCGGUUCUGGAAGUCAGCUGUGAAAGCCCCGGGCUUAACCUGGGAAUGGCGGUUGAAACUCCAGGACUAGAAUCUGGCAGAGGGGGGUGGAAUUCCACGUGUAGCAGUGAAAUGCGUAGAGAUGUGGAGGAACACCGAUGGCGAANNNACCCCCUGGGCUGAGAUUGACGCUCAGGCACGAAAGCGUGGGGAGCAAACAGGAUUAGAUACCCUAGUAGUCC
Molecule: ribosomal RNA, 791 nt
Filed under: uncultured bacterium
Lineage: Bacteria
Description: bacterial SSU rRNA
Rfam family: Bacterial small subunit ribosomal RNA
Source: RNAcentral